Carassius carassius (crucian carp) is the source of this 672-nucleotide long non-coding RNA. RefSeq lists it as uncharacterized. NCBI's taxonomy places the organism in Eukaryota, Metazoa, Chordata, Actinopteri, Cypriniformes, Cyprinidae. The record is from RefSeq and is a predicted model, not a curated record. The transcript is spliced from 2 exons.
UCUCAGCAGGGAGAGCAACAGCAACUACCUGGAAACAUACAUCCAAAAUCGUUUUGUGACCCUUAAAGGAAAGUACUAUGGCGGUACCAUGGUACGGUGAUGCUAUCAGAUGGAAGACUGUUAAAAACAUCAUCCGUUGGCCAGAACAUGGUAAAUGGGUAAAAGGGUUGAUGCUGCACCACAUGCAUCAAUUCUGCAUCCUGUGUGAAAGAUUUUUUGUAAGAAAAUGGCAGGUCCAAAAAAAAAAAUGUAAGUGCAGAAUAAAUAUUACCUGAAGGAGCUUGCUGAAGAUUUUGAAGCCAUAUUGUUCAGCAGCUGGGGUUAUGGUCAACUGCAACAUAAAUUGAAUUUUAGUUUGUGGAAUGACAUUUUUAUGACUUUUCGGAACUUACAAAAUGGUGGACAUCGGUUGAGUUACAUACAUUGGUGAUGAUAUUCGCCUUGCCCGUUAGAUCGUAUGGAAAGAGGACAUUGUCUGUGAAAUGUAUGACUCCAUUGGAGCACUCAACAUCACUGGUGAGGAUCUUUGUCUUAUCGUUGAUGUACACAACACCCUGAGAGACAAAAGUAGACACUUCAGAUCAGAGUCAGAAAAUAACUUUUCCACUUGGGAAACUGAUUUACAAGGGAAGCUUUUGUAAUCAACUUAUUAAAUGGAUCUGUUCAUGUUGU